RNAcentral lists this microRNA precursor (154 nucleotides) under Asparagus officinalis (garden asparagus). RNAcentral's name for it is "miR391 stem-loop (aof-MIR391)". Its record names the gene aof-MIR391. The record is from miRBase by way of RNAcentral. Lineage: Eukaryota; Viridiplantae; Streptophyta; Magnoliopsida; Asparagales; Asparagaceae.
AUAGAAGAAGCAGACUCAGGUUUCCUACGCAGGAGAGAUGAUGCCAUUGCUCAUUGGAGAAGCAAAGGAAAAGGGAAAAAAAAGCAUCCUUUGUUUAGAAAAGACGGUGGCAUCAUCUCUCUGCGAAGGUAACAUGAAAGCAUUUGCUCUUUUG